UGGAGCAUGGUAACAGGUUUGAUUCUGGCUCGGGUGUGAACGCUGGCGGGAUGCUUUACACAUGCAAGUCGCGCCGUUAUGGUUCAGUCUGGUGGCGAGAGUGGCGAACGGGUGAGUAAUGUAUCGGAACGUGCCUAGUAGCGGGGGAUAACUACGCGAAAGCGUAGCCAAUACCGCAUACGCCCUUCGGGGGAAAGCGGGGACCUUCGGGCCUCGCACUAUUAGAGCGGCCGAUAUCGGAUUAUUUCAGUUGGUGGAGUAACGAACUCUGCAGGCGACGAUCCGUGGCUGGUUUGAGAGGACGACCAGCACCUGGGCUGAGACACGGCCCAGACUCCUACAGGAGGCAGCAGUGGAAUUUUGGACAAUGGGGAAACCCUGAUCCAGCCAUCCCGCGUGUGCGAUGAAGGCCUUCAAGGUUGUGUUAGCAGGAAGAACUCGCUGAAGAUGAAUACGUGCAACUGACGGAUACCUGCAGAAUAAGCACCGGCUAACUACGUGCCAGCAGCCGCGGUAAUACGUAAGUGCAAGCGUUAAUCGGAAUUACUGGGCGUAAAGCGUGCGCAGGCGGACGGAAAAGAAAGAUGUGAAAUCCCAGGCUUAACUGAACUGCAUUUUUAACUACCGAGCUAGAGUGUGUCGGGAGGUGGGUAUUUAUGUGGGUAAAUACCGUGGAAUAUGCGGAGGAACACCGAUGGCAAUGAUAUCAGAUCACUGACGCUCAUGCACAGCGGUAGAACAAGUGGAUUGGACACCUGGUAGUCCACGCCCUAAACAGAUAUCGUGGCUAUUUGGGGCCUUCGGGCCUUGGUAGCGCAAUAACAGCGUGAAGUUGACCGCCUGGGAAUCACGGUCGCAAGAUUAAAACUCAAAGAUUGACCAGGACCCGCACAAGCGGUGGAUGAUGUGGAUUAAUUCGAUGCAGCGCGAAAACCUUACCUACCUUGACAUGUCUGGAAUCCCGAAGAGAUUUGCGAUGCUCGUGGACAGGUGCGGGUGCUGCAUGGUGCUGUCGUCGGCUCGUGUCGUGGAUAUCAAUUUGGGUUAAGUCCGCAACGGACGCAACCCUUGUCAUUAGUUGCUACGAAAAGGGCACUCUAAUGAGACUGCCAUUGUUGAUGACAAACCGGAGAGAUUGGGGAUGACGUCAAGUCCUCAUGGCCCUUAUGGGUAGGGUGUAUACAAUGGUCGGGACGGAGGUCAUGUCCCGCGGGGAGCCGUCCGGACCCGAUCGUAGUCCGGAUCGCAGUCUGCAACUCGACUGCGUGAAGUCGGAAUCGUUCGUAAUGGUGAAUCGUAUGUCGCGGUGAAUACGUUCCCGGGUCUUGUUUGAUGCGAUGUUACCAUCAGGAGUGGGUUUUACCAGAAAUGAUUAGCCUAACCGUAAGAGGCGAUUACCACGGUAGGAUUCAUGACUGGGGUGAAGUCGUAACAAGAGUAG
This 1441-nucleotide ribosomal RNA is filed under the name uncultured Bordetella sp. RNAcentral's name for it is "partial 16S-23S ribosomal RNA intergenic spacer". It matches the Rfam family "Bacterial small subunit ribosomal RNA". Lineage: Bacteria; Pseudomonadati; Pseudomonadota; Betaproteobacteria; Burkholderiales; Alcaligenaceae. The record is from RNAcentral.